AUCAAUUCUCAGCCUUUUGGCUAAGAUCAAGUGUAGUAUCUGUUUUUAUCAGUUUAAUAUCUGAUACAUUCUCUGAAGACAAUAUAUUAAAUGAAUUUUUGGAGCAGGGAGAUGGAAUAGGAGCUUGCUCCGUCCACUCCAUGCAUCGACCUAGUAUUUCAGUACUUCCAGGAAUGGUGCACCCCCU
This 187-nucleotide small nuclear RNA is filed under the name Propithecus coquereli (Coquerel's sifaka). Its description in RNAcentral is "U2 spliceosomal RNA (ENSPCOG00000002009.1)". It matches the Rfam family "U2 spliceosomal RNA". Rfam says of the family: U2 is a small nuclear RNA (snRNA) component of the spliceosome (involved in pre-mRNA splicing). Complementary binding between U2 snRNA (in an area lying towards the 5' end but 3' to hairpin I) and the branchpoint sequence (BPS) of the intron results the bulging out of an unpaired adenosine, on the BPS, which initiates a nucleophilic attack at the intronic 5' splice site, thus starting the first of two transesterification reactions that mediate splicing. The record is from Rfam by way of RNAcentral. Lineage: Eukaryota; Metazoa; Chordata; Mammalia; Primates; Indriidae.